CCCUUAGAUGUUCUGGGCCGCACGCGCGCCACACUGACUACUUCAACGAGUUGUUUCCUUGAUCGAAAGGUCUGGGUAAUCUUUGAAAGGUAGUCGUGAUGGGGAUAGAUCCUUGCAAUUUUUGAUCUUCAACGAGGAAUUCCUAGUAAACGCAAGUCAUCAGCUUGCAUUGAUUACGUCCCUGCCCUUUGUACACACCGCCCGUCGCACCUACCGAUUGAAUGGUCCGGUGAAUCUUUAGGACUGUGGCUGAGGCCUUGCCUUGUGCGGGUCUGGCCGUGGGAAUUUAGUUAAACCUUACCAUUUAGAGGAAGGUGAAGUCGUAACA
Molecule: ribosomal RNA, 328 nt
Filed under: uncultured eukaryote
Lineage: Eukaryota
Description: partial 18S ribosomal RNA
Rfam family: Eukaryotic small subunit ribosomal RNA
Source: RNAcentral